Molecule: ribosomal RNA, 495 nt
Filed under: uncultured bacterium
Lineage: Bacteria
Description: partial 16S ribosomal RNA
Rfam family: Bacterial small subunit ribosomal RNA
Source: RNAcentral
GAUGAACGCUGGCGGCGUGCCUAAUACAUGCAAGUCGAGCGAACGGACGAGAAGCUUGCUUCUCUGAUGUUAGCGGCGGACGGGUGAGUAACACGUGGAUAACCUACCUAUAAGACUGGGAUAACUUCGGGAAACCGGAGCUAAUACCGGAUGAUAUUUUGAACCGCAUGGUUCAAAAGUGAAAGACGGUCUUGCUGUCACUUAUAGAUGGAUCCGCGCUGCAUUAGCUAGUUGGUAAGGUAACGGCUUACCAAGGCAACGAUGCAUAGCCGACCUGAGAGGGUGAUCGGCCACACUGGAACUGAGACACGGUCCAGACUCCUACGGGAGGCAGCAGUAGGGAAUCUUCCGCAAUGGGCGAAAGCCUGACGGAGCAACGCCGCGUGAGUGAUGAAGGUCUUCGGAUCGUAAAACUCUGUUAUUAGGGAAGAACAUAUGUGUAAGUAACUGUGCACAUCUUGACGGUACCUAAUCAGAAAGCCACGGCUAACUACG